Molecule: ribosomal RNA, 569 nt
Filed under: uncultured archaeon
Lineage: Archaea
Description: bacterial SSU rRNA
Rfam family: Archaeal small subunit ribosomal RNA
Source: RNAcentral
CGGGGUGCACCAGGCGCGAAAACUCUACAAUGCAGGCAACUGCGAUAGGGGAACAUCGAGUGAUACUCAUCUUGGGUGUCUGUCCUCCCGUCUAAAAAACGGGAGUUAGCAAGGGCCGGGCAAGACCGGUGCCAGCCGCCGCGGUAAUACCGGCGGCUCGAGUGGUGGCCGAUAUUAUUGAGUCUAAAGGGUCCGUAGCCGGCUUUGCAAGUCUUUUGGGAAAUCCAGCGGCUUAACCGUUGGUCGUCCGGGAGAUACUACAUUGCUUGGGACUGGGAGAGGUAGGAGGUACUCAGGGGGUAGGAGUGAAAUCCUGUAAUCCUUUGGGGACCACCGGUGGCGAAGGCGUCCUACCAGAACAGGUCCGACGGUGAGGGACGAAAGCUAGGGGCACGAACCGGAUUAGAUACCCGGGUAGUCCUAGCCGUAAACGAUGCUCGCUAGGUGUCACAACAAUCGUGAAUUGUUGUGGUGCCGUAGGGAAGCCGUGAAGCGAGCCACUUGGGAAGUACGACCGCAAGGUUGAAACUUAAAGGAAUUGGCGGGGGAGCACAAGGGCGAAUUCGCGG